ACAGAUAGUAUCACGAAAAGAAGUGGUAAGAGUAAUAAAAUUCCUUUAUUCAACAUUACGAAUUGAAUUACAAGAAGAAGUGGUUGUAAUUAAUUUAACACAUAUUGCAUCACGAGAAGAAUAGGAAAAAUAUUGCUAUACUUAAGUAUCAAGAUUAAAAUACUGAUGCACCGUUAAACUGAAGGUGGUAACAAAGUUUACAAAAUUUGCUCUGGCUGAAUUUUUCAAUGAAAAAACAAUAUGUCUGCUAUGAAUGUAAUCUGUUUUUUAUGGCGUAUCAAUGAAAGUUUGGUGUAUUGGCCAAACCACUUGCAAGCAUCUUGCCUUUAAACUGCCAUACAUAAAGACACGCUUUUAAAAGUAACUGAAAGCAGCUAAAAAUAAGAAUUUUUUGAUGAACUUUCUUACUUCGGUUGGAGGAGAUGAGAAACAACUUACAGCGGCAAUCUUAAUACAGCUAAUGGCCAAAGAAGUAUGUUUUUCAUACUCAGUGUAUGGAAUGAAACAAAAAUGUCCUGCAAGGUCGUUAUAGAGUUGCGUUUAGUCGUUUAUCAUUGUAUUCGUUCAUUUCGAAAUCGCUACUGACAAAAGUAUUUAAGAAAAAAUUGGCAGCUUUCUGGCGACGGCCAUUAAUAGAGAUUAUG
This is a non-coding RNA of Hydra vulgaris (swiftwater hydra), 644 nucleotides long. NCBI's taxonomy places the organism in Eukaryota, Metazoa, Cnidaria, Hydrozoa, Anthoathecata, Hydridae. The record is from RefSeq and is a predicted model, not a curated record.